This 621-nucleotide ribosomal RNA is filed under the name Nocardiopsis sp. EGI80338. Its description in RNAcentral is "bacterial SSU rRNA". It matches the Rfam family "Bacterial small subunit ribosomal RNA", at positions 120 to 742 of the family's 1533-position model. Lineage: Bacteria; Bacillati; Actinomycetota; Actinomycetes; Streptosporangiales; Nocardiopsidaceae. The record is from RNAcentral.
AGCAACCUGCCCCUGACUCUGGGAUAAGCGGUGGAAACGCCGUCUAAUACCGGAUACGACCGGCCACCUCAUGGUGGCGGGUGGAAAGUUUUUCGGUCGGGGAUGGGCUCGCGGCCUAUCAGCUUGUUGGUGGGGUAACGGCCUACCAAGGCGAUUACGGGUAGCCGGCCUGAGAGGGCGACCGGCCACACUGGGACUGAGACACGGCCCAGACUCCUGCGGGAGGCAGCAGUGGGGAAUAUUGCGCAAUGGGCGAAAGCCUGACGCAGCGACGCCGCGUGGGGGAUGACGGCCUUCGGGUUGUAAACCUCUUUUACCACCAACGCAGGCUCCCGGUUCUCUGGGGGUUGACGGUAGGUGGGGAAUAAGGACCGGCUAACUACGUGCCAGCAGCCGCGGUAAUACGUAGGGUCCGAGCGUUGUCCGGAAUUAUUGGGCGUAAAGAGCUCGUAGGCGGCGUGUCGCGUCUGCUGUGAAAGACCGGGGCUUAACUCCGGUUCUGCAGUGGAUACGGGCAUGCUAGAGGUAGGUAGGGGAGACUGGAAUUCCUGGUGUAGCGGUGAAAUGCGCAGAUAUCAGGAGGAACACCGGUGGCGAAGGCGGGUCUCUGGGCCUUACCUG